UACGUAGGGUCGAGCGUUGUCCGGAGUUACUGGGCGUAAAGCGCGCGCAGGCGGCGCGAUAAGACCGGCGUGAAGCCCCGCUCAACGGGAGGUCGUUGUGACUGUCGCGCUUGAAGCAGCAGGGUGAGUGGAAUUCCGUGUAGUGUGAAUGCGUAGAGAUCGGAGACACCGUGCGAGCGCUCACUGCUGACCUGACGCUGAGCGCGAAGCGUGGGAGCAACAGGAUAGAUAC
Molecule: ribosomal RNA, 232 nt
Filed under: uncultured bacterium
Lineage: Bacteria
Description: partial 16S ribosomal RNA
Rfam family: Bacterial small subunit ribosomal RNA
Source: RNAcentral